ACGCUGGCGGUAGGCUUAACACAUGCAAGUCGUGCGAGAAAGUAUCUUCGGAUAUGAGUAGAGCGGCGGACGGGUGAGUAACGCGUAGGAAUCUACCUAGUAGAAGGGGAUAGCCCGGGGAAACUCGGAUUAAUACCGUAUACCUCCUUCGGGAGAAAGAAGGCCUCUCUUUGAAGCUUUCGCUACUAGAUGAGCCUGCGUAAGAUUAGCUUGUUGGUGAGGUAAAGGCUCACCAAGGCGACGAUCUUUAGCGGGUCUGAGAGGACGAUCCGCCACAUUGGGACUGAGACACGGCCCAGACUCCUACGGGAGGCAGCAGUGGGGAAUAUUGGACAAUGGGCGCAAGCCUGAUCCAGCCAUACCGCGUGUGUGAAGAAGGCCCUAGGGUUGUAAAGCACUUUAAGUUGGGAAGAAAAGUUAUUGGUUAAUACCCAAUAGCCGUGACAUUACCAUCAGAAUAAGGACCGGCUAAUUCCGUGCCAGCAGCCGCGGUAAUACGGAAGGUCCAAGCGUUAAUCGGAAUUACUGGGCGUAAAGCGCGCGUAGGUGGUUUAU
Molecule: ribosomal RNA, 555 nt
Filed under: uncultured Gammaproteobacteria bacterium
Lineage: Bacteria; Pseudomonadati; Pseudomonadota; Gammaproteobacteria
Description: bacterial SSU rRNA
Rfam family: Bacterial small subunit ribosomal RNA
Source: RNAcentral